AUUAGAGUUUGAUCCUGGCUCAGAUUGAACGCUGGCGGCAUGCCUUGCACAUGCAAGUCGAACGGCAGCAUGAUCUAGCUUGCUAGAUUGAUGGCGAGUGGCGAACGGGUGAGUAAUACAUCGGAACGUGCCCUGUAGUGGGGGAUAACUAGUCGAAAGAUUAGCUAAUACCGCAUACNACCUGAGGGUGAAAGUGGGGGACCGCAAGGCCUCAUGCUAUAGGAGCGGCCGAUGUCUGAUUAGCUAGUUGGUGAGGUAAAGGCUCACCAAGGCGACGAUCAGUAGCUGGUCUGGGAGGACGAUCAGCCACACUGGGACUGAGACACGGCCCAGACUCCUACGGGAGGCAGCAGUGGGGAAUUUUGGACAAUGGGCGAAAGCCUGAUCCAGCAAUGCCGCGUGUGUGAAGAAGGCCUUCGGGUUGUAAAGCACUUUUGUCCGGAAAGAAAUGGCUCUGGUUAAUACCUGGGGUCGAUGACGGUACCGGAAGAAUAAGGACCGGCUAACUACGUGCCAGCAGCCGCGGUAAU
RNAcentral lists this ribosomal RNA (530 nucleotides) under uncultured bacterium. RNAcentral's name for it is "bacterial SSU rRNA". It matches the Rfam family "Bacterial small subunit ribosomal RNA", at positions 1 to 524 of the family's 1533-position model. The record is from RNAcentral.